UACGUAGGGACCAAGCGUUGUUCGGAUUUACUGGGCGUAAAGGGCGCGUAGGCGGCGCGGUAAGUCACUUGUGAAAUCUCUGAGCUUAACUCAGAACGGCCAAGUGAUACUGCAGUGCUAGAGUGUGGAAGGGGCAAUCGGAAUUCUUGGUGUAGCGGUGAAAUGCGUAGAUAUCAAGAGGAACACCUGAGGUGAAGACGGGUUGCUGGGCCAACACUGACGCUGAGGCGCGAAAGUGUGGGGAGCGAACAGG
This 253-nucleotide ribosomal RNA is filed under the name uncultured bacterium. RNAcentral describes it as "partial 16S ribosomal RNA". It matches the Rfam family "Bacterial small subunit ribosomal RNA", at positions 524 to 776 of the family's 1533-position model. The record is from RNAcentral.